This 498-nucleotide unclassified non-coding RNA is filed under the name Zea mays. RNAcentral describes it as "misc RNA Zm00001eb208680". Lineage: Eukaryota; Viridiplantae; Streptophyta; Magnoliopsida; Poales; Poaceae. The record is from RNAcentral.
GGCGGAGCCGGGAAUACAACAGCCUACCGACGCCGAGACGGAGCACGACGUCCGGUUCAAGGUCUGCUGCUCGUCAGAGCACGGGCAUGGCAGCGGCUCUAGCUUCAGCAUCAACAUCGAAGAAGAGUUAAACGUCGACGACUAUGACAUAGACAUCAUGGAGAUGAUGCCAGACGAGCCGGACCACCCGGAAGCGACGCCAGCCAGCUUGAUCCAGCAGCAAGAAGCAGAUGUGCAACAGCACGGGCACGAGCACGGCAUUGGCUUCCACUUUGAGGGAAUGCAGCAGCCAACUAAUGUCGCCGAGCCGGAGCACGACGACGGCCGAUCCAUCCAUCCUACGUCUGGUGAUCCGUUGUUGGUUGCCCAAGUCAGCUUCGACUUCGAGGGAAUGCAGCAGCCAACUACAGUCGUCGAGUCGGAGCACGACGACGGCCGAUCCAUCCAUCCUACGUCUGGUGAUCCGUUGUUGGCUGCCCAAGUCAGCCUCGACUUCGA